CAGGUCUGUGCCACGUUUUUUUACUCUGCUGUCUUACUACUGUGCUCUAAGUACAGCUCUAAAUACAUCAUCAGGUUUGCUGAAGACUCUACAGUUGUGGGCCACCAAAAACAGUGCAUCAGCAUACAAGGGGAUAAAGGAGAGCAUUGUGACUGUCCGUUUCACUGUGUGGUAAGAGAACUGCACAGCCUCAGACCAAAAGAUCCUAAAGUGGAUUGUGAGAAAAGCUGAGAAGAUCACCAGUGUCUCUCUACCCACAAUUGAUUACUACUGCAUCCUCAAGGCAGUGCAUCCAUGUACAUGGUCACUGAUGGCCAGACCUCCAAAGCUCUCUACACGACUGGUAGAUUUUCAAGCCACCUGUGUCCACAGAAUCUAUACACCCCACUCCUGAGCUCCCAGUGUUUGCCAGUCUCCAGUGUGACCACUGCCCUUCCCCUAGUCUCGUCGCUUGGUGGUGCCCACUGAUGCUGUGGAUGGAUCUGUGUGGACCAGGAGACAGCUAUGGACAGAGCCACUUGGGGACUUUCACACCGUCACAGAUCUGCCAUUUCAUCUGUCAGCUUGUGACAGCAAAGAAUUAGUGUCUAUAAUGACCUUAGAAUCUACAAUGACCUAACAGUUCCUCAUGGGCCAUUGAUUGCUGUUGUAGAAAGGACAUUAAUCAGUUACAGUUACAUUAUUUACUGUUUAGUGUCACCCAAAUGAGGAUGGGUUCCCUUCUGAGGAUAUCAUCACAUGGAGUUUUUCCUUGCCACCAUGCUCAUUAGGGAUAAAAUAAAAUACUUUAAUAAUUUAAUUUAAUAAUUUAUUCUUAUUUCUAGUUAUUUAGUUAUAUAUUUUUCCCCUCCCCUUUCUCUGUUUCUCUUCUUUUGUAAAGCUGCUUUGAGACAAUGUUCAUUGUAAAAGGUGCUAUACAAAAUAAAUUGAACUGAAUUUAAUUAAUAUAAAAGAGCUCAAAACACCUGCGCAAAACAUGCAAUACUAGUGUUACCUUUCCGGCACAAAACUUUUUAAGUAAUUAGGUUAUUAUCAAAGGUAACUAGCACAGAUAUGCAUUUUACCAAAUUUCAAUAGGACUUCCAGAAACACAGUGAACCUACUGAUGUGCUUUUUAAGAAUGUGUGUUUUUUUAAAAUGUUUUUUUCACCAAUUCAUCAGACGUGAUCAUUGGACACCUUGCAUGCAUGCUUCUUAGAAUUUAAAUACAUUUGUUGUGUUUCACACAAUAUCCACCAGAUAUA
Hemibagrus wyckioides is the source of this 1244-nucleotide long non-coding RNA. RefSeq lists it as uncharacterized. NCBI's taxonomy places the organism in Eukaryota, Metazoa, Chordata, Actinopteri, Siluriformes, Bagridae. The transcript has 4 exons. The record is from RefSeq and is a predicted model, not a curated record.